RNAcentral lists this ribosomal RNA (504 nucleotides) under uncultured bacterium. RNAcentral describes it as "partial 16S ribosomal RNA". It matches the Rfam family "Bacterial small subunit ribosomal RNA", at positions 30 to 523 of the family's 1533-position model. The record is from RNAcentral.
AUUGAACGCUGGCGGCAGGCCUAACACAUGCAAGUCGAACGGUAGCACAGAGAGCUUGCUCUCGGGUGACGAGUGGCGGACGGGUGAGUAAUGUCUGGGAAACUGCCCGAUGGAGGGGGAUAACUACUGGAAACGGUAGCUAAUACCGCAUAACGUCGCAAGACCAAAGUGGGGGACCUUCGGGCCUCACACCAUCGGAUGUGCCCAGAUGGGAUUAGCUAGUAGGUGGGGUAAUGGCUCACCUAGGCGACGAUCCCUAGCUGGUCUGAGAGGGUGACCAGCCACACUGGAACUGAGACACGGUCCACACUCCUACGGGAGGCAGCAGUGGGGAAUAUUGCACAAUGGGCGCAAGCCUGAUGCAGCCAUGCCGCGUGUAUGAAGAAGGCCUUCGGGUUGUAAAGUACUUUCAGCGGGGAGGAAGGCGGUGAAGUUAAUAGCUUCACCGAUUGACGUUACCCGCAGAAGAAGCACCGGCUAACUCCGUGCCAGCCGCCGCAGUAA